Numida meleagris (helmeted guineafowl) is the source of this 6730-nucleotide RNA transcript. It is a transcript of the gene named poly(A) RNA polymerase D7, non-canonical, with no coding region annotated. Lineage: Eukaryota; Metazoa; Chordata; Aves; Galliformes; Numididae. The record is from RefSeq and is a predicted model, not a curated record. The transcript is spliced from 18 exons.
GUUUCUUUCAUGUGGUUUGGUUUUGGUUAGUUUAUUGUGUACUUCUAAGCAUAGUUUGUAUGUUAUUCCCGAAAACAGAUGCUUCUUAAGAACCAGAUGACCUACUGUUUGACUUCCAAAAACAAACGUGAGGCUCUCAUCCCUCCAGUCGAUUUGUCUUUCCCUGAAGCUUAAGGGCAUAGUUAGAGAAUGCAGCUGUAUCAAAUACCACGAUAACAGUAUCCCUUCUGCAGAUAACGUUCUCCGCUGAGUCUUGCUCCCUCCUCCUGUCUGUUCCCUCCCUUACUCCACAAAGUUCAUUCACAACGAACUCCGAAGAACUACUGCUUUUUGUCCCCGAUGGAACCUCAGCAGCCCACUACGCAUUCUCAACACCCAAGGAGCCUCCCCUCGCCCAGGGCUAGACGCAGUGACCAAUCGCCCCCGGCUACGGGAGGGCCGCUCCGCGCAUGCGCAGCAGCCGCCGAACCCCUCCUCCCACCCGAGGGCUCCCGAACCGUUCCGAAGCCCCCAUCGGGGCACGCAUGCGCGCUGGGCGGCGGGCAGUCUUCCCAACGUCCUUCUGUACGGCCCCCCCUCCCCGCGGAUCCCAGUCCUCCUCCCGAGGCCUCCAGCGCGCAUGUGCGGUUGCCAGGGCGGCCGGCUGCGGUGAAGGUUUAAAAUCGGCGGGGCAUGCGCAGCGCCGGUUCUGGCUCUGGCGAGGGGGACGCCACAUUGGAUCGGCGCGGGGAGCGCUCCGGGCAGCGCCGGGCCGGUACGGUGCUCGCCUCGCCGGGCCGCAUGCCGCUGCUCCCGGCCCGCGCGUAGCGCCGCUCCGGGCCCGGCGCGCUGAGGCGAGCGGCUGCGCGGUGAGCGGGCGGCGGCGCGGCGCUCUGGCCGGGCCGUGAGGGUCGGAGGCGGGCGGGCGUGGAUGGAUCCCCGCGUGGCCUGGAUCCAGCCCGAGCAGAAAGGCCCCGCGAAUGCGCUCUGGAUGCAGAUCUGGGAGACCUCGCAGGGCGUGGGGGGCCGCGGCGGCGGCGCCUUCCCGCACUACCUCUGCCUCAACUCCCCGGCGCUGGACUCGGCCGCCGCCGCCGCCUCACCGCCCCGCGGCCACGGCUGCGCCCGGCUCGGGGCGCCCGGCGGCGGCUGCUGCUCCUCGUCCUCGCCGCCGUCGCCUUCGCCGUCCCCCCCGGCGCUGCUGACCGGACUGGUGCCCGCCGCCGGCCCCGCGGCGGUGGUGAACGGCGGCGGCGAGGGAGGGCGGCGGCUUCAGAAGUCGCCCUCGGUGUCUUCCUCGUCCUCCUGCUCGUCGGUGGAGUCCGGCACCGAGAGCCCCGGCUUCUCCUCCUCGGGGUCGUGCGGAGGCGGCGGCGGCUCCUCCUCUUCCUCCUGCGGCCCCCGGGCGGCGGUGGCCCCUCCCGGGCUGCCGGGCAGCGGGGCCGGGCCCGGGGAGUUCUUCAACUUCCACGAGAGCGGCAAAGCGAACGGCGCGCACGGGCACCACCCGGCCCCGCACCUCUCCCGCAGCCCUCACCCGCCGCCGCCGGCCUCUCCCCAGCAGCACCAGUACCACCCGGGCCGCAGGAAACGAGAGAACAAGGCUAGCACCUAUGGCAUGAAUUACCUGCUCUCCGGCAGCCGCGGCGUGGUCGUCGCCGCCUCCCCGCACCAGCAGCGCCAGCCGCCCCAGCCCGCGCUGCAGAGCCCCGGCACCCCCUGGAAGAGCAGGAAGUACAGCCCGGGCGUGCAGGGACUGCAUGAAGAAAUAAUUGACUUCUAUGACUUCAUGUCCCCUCGUCCGGAAGAAGCAGCUAUGAGAAGAGAAGUGGUAAAAAGAAUAGAAACUGUCAUCAAAGAUCUUUGGCCUACAGCUGAUGUCCAGAUAUUUGGCAGCUUUAGUACAGGGCUUUAUCUUCCAACUAGUGAUAUUGAUUUAGUUGUUUUUGGGAAAUGGGAACGCCCCCCCUUACAGCUGCUGGAGCAAGCGCUAAGAAAACACAAUGUGGCUGAGCCAUAUUCCAUCAAAGUACUUGAUAAAGCUACGGUACCAAUAAUAAAACUUACUGACCAGGAGACAGAAGUGAAAGUUGACAUCAGUUUUAAUGUAGAAACUGGUGUGAAGGCAGCUCGAUUUAUCAAGGAAUACAUGAAGAAAUAUUCUUUGCUGCCUUACUUGAUUUUAGUAUUAAAGCAGUUCCUACUUCAGAGGGACUUGAAUGAAGUUUUUACUGGUGGAAUUAGCUCUUAUAGCCUAAUUUUAAUGGCAAUUAGUUUCCUGCAGCUGCAUCCAAGAAUUGAUGCCAGAAGAGCUGAUGAAAACCUUGGAAUGCUUCUGAUAGAAUUCUUUGAACUCUAUGGAAGGAAUUUUAACUACUUGAAAACUGGUAUUAGAAUAAAAAAUGGAGGUGCCUAUAUUGCCAAAGAAGAAAUCAUGAAAGUCAUGACUAACGGAUACAGACCAUCCAUGUUAUGUAUUGAAGAUCCUCUCCUGCCUGGAAACGACGUUGGCAGAAGUUCUUACGGUGCCAUGCAAGUGAAACAAGUUUUUGAUUAUGCCUACAUUGUUCUUAGCCAUGCAGUAUCACCACUUGCAAGAUCAUAUCCAAAUAGAGAUUCUGAGAGCACAUUAGGUAGAAUCAUCAAAGUGACCCAAGAAGUGAUUGACUACAGGGCCUGGAUUAAAAAGAAGUGGGGGAGCAAAAUUAAUUUAUCACCUGAACUUGAUAAUAGGUUGAAAAUAAGAGACCAGAUAGCUCCAUGCAAUGGAGAACAGAACAACAACAGAGACUCUGAAUCAUCUUACAACCAACGCUUGACUUUGUCAUUGACUAGUACACAACAGUUAUCCUCUGGCUCAUCUGCGUCGUCUGUAUCAUCACUCUCUGGCAGUGACAUUGAUUCUGAUACACCACCUUGCACAGCUCCUAAUGUUUACCAGUUCAGUCUGCAAGCACCGACUCAACUUAUGGCCAGUUUACCACCAGCAUUGCCUAUGCCAAGUGGUAAACCCCAAUCUGCGCCUACGAGAACCUUGAUAAUGGCCGCCAGUAAUCAGCAGCACACUGGAAUGAAGUUUUCCAUGAAAGGAACUCAUAACCAAGGCAACAGCUACAGUCCUGUCAACAGUGGAGGCAUGAGGCAACCGGAGAGCACAGCCCAGUGUUGUACGCAGUAUGAGUGGCUGGCACUUAAUUUACAGAUGCAUACAGGUAAUUUGAACAACAAUUUCAAUAUGCGUGCCAGACAUCUUCAGAAUGAACUUGGAAGUUGGAUGGGUGCCAUCUGCAUACUGUUCUUUGUAUAUAUAAAGGGGGUAACGAAUAUGGCUGUUGGUUCCAUGGUUGUGGUUUUGGUCCCUUGAUAAUGAGAGCGCAAAGGAAUGAGAGGGAGGAAAAGCUGAAUCUUCUGAUGAACUACCUUCACUCCUUCAGUAGUACUGUUGAAUGUAUCUAGCUAAUUUUGGUGCCAAGAUGAGUAGGUGAAACUCCUGGACAAGCAAGUCUUGACAUGUGAUAAAAGAUGGGUACCCUUUCACAUAAUCAUAUGAGAGAUCAUCCAAACAACUUUGUUCUCUUGGGAAAUUUCUUUGGAGACUGAUGAACAAAGUAUAAGGCUGAUCUGUUGUUCAUAUGUGCCUGUGCAGUUUCGUGGUUGAACAGUGUUGCAGUUUCCAAAAGCAAAUGCAUGAUUUGUUCUGAUAUUCCUGUGGGAACUUAGGAGGGAGUGCAGGGGAAGCCCAGCAGACCUGUUUGGUUUACAAAAAAUAAAAAUGCAACUUCUGAUGAAGAGCAAGUCCAUGCAACAGCCUUACUGAUUAGUUCUUUUUUCAGUAGUUGAACAAUUUGACUUACCGUUUUGUCCCAAUCCCCUGUUAAAGAGCUGCCAAGGAAUGCAAGCUUGUGUGGUUGUGAAUGUUAGAAAUCAUGAGCGGUAAAGUGCUGAAUGGAAAUGCUCCAUGGACAAGGAUAAGGCCUGGAUAAGGCUCCAAGCAACCUAAUCUAAAGUUAGCCCUGCUGGACCAGGAGGUUCAGACAGCCUAUACAGACUUCUUCCUAAUCUGAAUUUGUUUGUGAUAUUACAAGAAAGGGUAACUGUUUUUUUGAUGUAACUUCAUCUCUAUUAGGUUUAUGGAGUGUUUUAAUGGAGGCGGAAGUCAGACCAAGAAUAGGGUUGGUUGUCCUGCACUUCACAAAAUACCUCUGCAAAUUUUACGACCGAUAGGUUAAAACAGUUAUGGCAGGAUCUACAGAUGCAAACAGAUUUAUUGGAUCUACUGACACAUGAGGAUGUACUUCUGGAAAUUCAUCAAAGCUCAGCUGGGCAUCUAUGAUAUCAUGUCAAAAUGAUGUGAAGUACCAGGGAUGACAGAUACCAUCACCCAGCGUUUUGCAGCUGUUUGCGUGAUUCUUGUAUUGACAAACUUUUGAUCUCUGGCUUUGAUGCAGGAAUGACUUAACCUCCUGGGGAUGCUGAGCCUACUAGCUGGCUGUCAUUUCAGAUCUGUAGAUUACAAGAAUAUGACCUGACUUGGAUGUCCUGGGCAAUGUGGAAAUGACUGAGAUAGCCAGCCUUCCUUUUUCAGUUUUGGUGGAGAACUGCAUAUUGUUUCCUGUUAGGUGCUUUUUUGAUAUUUGGAAGAAAAAGACAUGCAACAUCUCAAACCCCUCUAAUACCUCUAGACCUGUCAGUGGAUAAAAUACCAUGGGGGGCUUUUAUGGCACCCUUUGACCUAGCCUGGCAUCCAAAACCUAACUUUGUCCUUGAUGUCUUUUGCUUUCCAUUUCUGUUCACUACUCUACUGGUACAGGAUGGUUUAAACUUGAAUGCUGCUCCUCGUGGUAUGGUUUCUGACUGGCUGUGAUGUCUUGAAAGAGUGAAUUCUUUGCCAGAAGGAAGGGUCCUUGCAGGAGGAAGGAGAGAUCUGCUAUGCAGCUCUUGUCUCUAAAUAGGAUACAUUUUUCUCUGCCCCCUCUCCAACUCCCUCUCUGAUGUCUUUCCCUGUACAGUCAAGUCAUGCUGACCUGAAAGAUUUUUCUGCUCUUCUAGUUUGUUUGUGAUAACUUACAAUGGAUUGACCAGUCAUGUCUAACCCAGGGGCUCCCUGUGGCCCAGAGCAGCUAUUUGCCUUGCUGAGUGGCCUGGCCCAACCUCAGGCAUGCACCGUGACUCAGCAACAACUAAAACAUCAGCCCAAGAAAAUUUCUCUUCACUCAACAUGACCCAAGCAAGCCAAAAUGUUGGACACCCAUGAUCUAGACAGACCCAAAGAGGGGAGGGUUUUCCAUUAAGCUAAUUCUAACUAUUACUUGCUCUACAAUAUUUGUAAUGCUAAUGUUCCCAGAUUUAUGCAGGAGGCAGCUUUUUUUCUUCCCUUUAUACACUGCCUGCAGCUCUAAAUUCAGUGCUUAAAGAUAUGUCAUGAGUGUGCCCUUAGGCUAUAGCAUAGUCUUGUGGUUUAUACAACAGAAUUUUGUGCAUCUUCUGGAAAGAGUUGGGAUUCAGAUCUGACUCUGUUAAACCUUUAUUCUUGUUAAUUUCCUUCUCUUGAUCCUUUCAAAUGUCUGAUGUAGUUUUCUCUGAAGUACAUUUAGGAUCUUUUUCUCUUAGACCAAAUGUUUCCAGGCCAGAGUUUUUGAAGUUCACUUAGAUCUAGCAGCUCUAAUUUUUUUAAUGUUUGUGGAACUAUGUCUCAGGCUCAAUACUGUAUUUCUCAGCAGUGCUAAGACUGUUGUUUUCUGGAGGACUCAGAAAUGCCCGUACAGAUACUGAGGUGCAGGAUGAUGCCUAAAGUAUCUGAGAGCAUAAGCAAUCAUGCCAACCAAACCUCAAAGAAAGAAAAGGCUGGUAAGCACUAAAUGCGAGAGAAAGAGUUGUUUUCAUGUGCGUUUUGUAGAGCUUUUGAGAAAUUAUAAGUGGAAGUCCCUGUGGAGUGCCGGAAUUGGAUGUUGCUCAUCCAGCAAUAAGACUUCGAAUCGACUCGAGUGUGGGAUUAUUUUUAGUCAUAUAAUCUCUUUACAGAGCUUCACAAGAUUUCCCGCUGUUAAUGAGAAUGGAAUCACAGAAUCAUCGAGGUUGGAGAAGAUUUUCAAGAUCAGCAAGUCAAUCCUCAACCAAAUCCCAUUAUGAUUUCAUGAGAGGCUGUGUCAUGGGAUAAAUGAAAACCCAGUAAGGUGGGGACUAUUAGAUUUGCUGCAGACAUGUGCCCGUGGUCCAAACUGUAACACUGAUAGAGCAACACCUACAGACUCCUGUAGAACUAGAAUCGUAAUGACAGUGAAUACAAACAGCUUGCAUUCAGCUUCACCCACAGUAUUCAGGUUAGAAUAUCUUUAUUUACUGCAUUUCAUAUUUUCACAUCCCUAAGUGGAGAUUAUUUUGUAUACUGCUUCUCAUUUUAAUUGCAUGGUAUACUUCUAAAUAAUAAAUAGCUAAUUUAUUCCUACAGACAAUUAACGUCAGCCGAACAGAAAUUUACUAGUUCUUACAAAAGUAAAAUGGAAGAACUUCAUCCAGGGACACGAAAUAGUAUGACUAAUAUGCAUGAAUACAAUACUCAAUACUCUGAGUACUGAAGUAUUGUAUUCCUGAGUACAGUCCAAAAAGCACUACUAGUGUGCAAUUUUAGGAAAAAAAAUAAAUUGUUUCAUUUUAUAAAUGCAUUCACCAACUAUGCAAGCUGGGGUAAUAUGGCAGGGGUCUACAAAUCCAUAAGUACCACAGGGAAAAAUGCAGAGGGACUGCCUAAUCA